GAUGAACGCUGGCGGCGUGCCUAAUACAUGCAAGUCGAGCGAAUGGAUUAAGAGCUUGCUCUUAUGAAGUUAGCGGCGGACGGGUGAGUAACACGUGGGUAACCUGCCCAUAAGACUGGGAUAACUCCGGGAAACCGGGGCUAAUACCGGAUAACAUUUUGAACCGCAUGGUUAGAAAUUGAAAGGCGGCUUCGGCUGUCACCUAUGGAUGGACCCGCGUCGCAUUAGCUAGUUGGUGAGGUAACGGCUCACCAAGGCAACGAUGCAUAGCCGACCUGGGAGGGUGAUCGGCCACACUGGGACUGAGACACGGCCCAGACUCCUACGGGAGGCAGCAGUAGGGAAUCUUCCGCAAUGGACGAAAGUCUGACGGAGCAACGCCGCGUGAGUGAUGAAGGCUUUCGGGUCGUAAAACUCUGUUGUUAGGGAAGAACAAGUGCUAGUUGAAUAAGCUGGCACCUUGACGGUACCUAACCAGAAAGCCACGGCUAACUACGUGCCAGCCGCCGCCGUAA
Molecule: ribosomal RNA, 515 nt
Filed under: uncultured bacterium
Lineage: Bacteria
Description: partial 16S ribosomal RNA
Rfam family: Bacterial small subunit ribosomal RNA
Source: RNAcentral